UUGCUUUGGAACACAUAUACCAAAAUUGAAACAAUACACAGAAGAUCAGCAUGGCACCUACGCAAGAUGACACGCAAAUUCACCAAAUACUUAUUCCAUAC
RNAcentral lists this small nuclear RNA (101 nucleotides) under Marmota monax (woodchuck). The record is from RNAcentral. Lineage: Eukaryota; Metazoa; Chordata; Mammalia; Rodentia; Sciuridae.